This 497-nucleotide ribosomal RNA is filed under the name uncultured bacterium. RNAcentral describes it as "partial 16S ribosomal RNA". It matches the Rfam family "Bacterial small subunit ribosomal RNA", at positions 28 to 507 of the family's 1533-position model. The record is from RNAcentral.
GAUGAACGCUGGCGGCGUGCCUAAUACAUGCAAGUCGAGCGAACGGACGAGAAGCUUGCUUUUCUGAUGUUAGCGGCGGACGGGCGAGUAACACGUGGAUAACCUACCUAUAAGACUGGGAUAACUUCGGGAAACCGGAGCUAAUACCGGAUAAUAUUUUGAACCGCAUGGUUCAAAAGUGAAAGACGGUCUUGCUGUCACUUAUAGAUGGAUCCGCGCUGCAUUAGCUAGUUGGUAAGGUAACGGCUUACCAAGGCAACGAUGCAUAGCCGACCUGAGAGGGGGAGAGGGCAAGAGGGGACGAGGAACAGGGUCCGACGCCGUAGGGGGGCCGCAGGAGGGAAGCUUGAUGAAUGGGGGAAAACCUGACGGAGCAAAGCCCGGGGAGUGAUGAAGGUCUUCGGAUCGUAAAACCUUGUUAAGAGGGCAGAACAUAUGUGUAAGUAACUGUGCACAUCUUGACGGGAGCUAAUCAGAAAGCCACGGCUAACUACGUG